AAAAUACAGUUUUGAGUCUGGUCGGAGCACUGGUGAUCGUCGCGGUCGCAACGGCGGUUUACAUAAGGAAAGAAAAGCGGAAAAACGCGGAGCGUAUACUGUACGAUUCGUGGUGGCAGUUGGCCCUUGACAGCAUUCCCGGUGCGAAGCGCUACCAAUCGUCUGUCUCGACAUUUUUUGCUCCUCGCCCAAGCAAAGCUCCACACCGCGACUCCUUGAUGCCGACAGAAGAAGCGAUGUCUAGUACUACGCAGCCGUCGUUUAAAGUAAGAUUAUUCGCAAAUUCCAUUGUUGGGAGAAUUAGGGCCUUUGUUUUUUCAGGGCUUCCACCCAACAUUCGCUGUUCACCGGGGCAAACCCGUCCGGUCAGUAAAGUUGUGUCAACGCGAAUACGCCAUAACGUUCCUGGAAAUGUCCACACAUCGGAGUCUGUUGGUACUCCUACGGAAGUUCUACGGAUUAGAGCAUCAAAAUCUUUGCCGGUUUCUGGGAUUAGCCAUCAU
Molecule: long non-coding RNA, 503 nt
Organism: Paramacrobiotus metropolitanus
Lineage: Eukaryota; Metazoa; Tardigrada; Eutardigrada; Parachela; Macrobiotidae
Exons: 3
Source: RefSeq, a predicted model, not a curated record